UCCAUUUCUCUACAGACUGUAUCAACCGUUAUCUGCUAUCUCAUUCAGCGUGAUCAACGAUCGAAAGAGAGGCUGUAGUGCGGAUAUCGUCUGCUUCUCUCAACCAGGUGUUAUUAUCGCGAUUUAUUGACGAGAUUUCUAGAAGGAAACAAGUUUAGUUAAAAGGAUAUUUAUUUUUUUCUUAUCCGACUCACACCGGUUUGGAAUUUUUGGGGGGGCUAUUAACAUGUUUUGUGAUUUUGAUAACGGAUCUUUAUUUACCAUUAACAGUUAAAAUGUCUGAAACGGUUUGGAGACCCAUGAUUCUUUGGAUGGUGACAGUGGUGUUAUUAGUGAAUAUUGCUGAAAUAUUUGGUAGUAAUUCGCAUGAUAACCCCUUCGCCAAUACGGUUUUUGGCGGGAAUGAAGUCAAUAUGUCUAUGCCAUGUCCUGCCAAAUGUCUGUGCAGCCGGGAAGAUAUGAAUGUACGUGUGGACUGUUCCGGACAAAAUCUAACAAGUAUUCCGCAGAAUUUUAACCGUUACACAACCCAUUUAGAUUUGAGCAUGAACAACAUCACCAUUAUACCAGAAGGAACUUUUAAUAAAUUACACCAUUUACGAGAACUACGCCUUGUGAGCAACACUAUUAAACAUCUUCCAAACAGACUCCUGAAAAAUAACAAACUUUUACAAGUUCUCUGUUUACAAGGAAAUCGGUUCAAGGAAAUUCCAAGUCAUGCCAUUAAGAACCUCAGAAAUUUGCAACAAUUACAUCUAGACGCUAAUGAAAUAGAUUAUGUACCAACCGACAGUUUUAAAAAUAUGGUUUCUUUGAAAAAUGUUUAUUUGAAUGCUAAUAAACUUCAAACCGUUCCUGUAGAAGCUUUAAAGCAUAUAUCAUCCUUGGAA
Patella vulgata (common limpet) is the source of this 890-nucleotide long non-coding RNA. RefSeq lists it as uncharacterized. NCBI's taxonomy places the organism in Eukaryota, Metazoa, Mollusca, Gastropoda, Patellidae. The record is from RefSeq and is a predicted model, not a curated record. The transcript is spliced from 5 exons.